RNAcentral lists this transfer RNA (89 nucleotides) under Paenibacillus sp. JJ-223. RNAcentral's name for it is "tRNA-Val". The record is from RNAcentral. Lineage: Bacteria; Bacillati; Bacillota; Bacilli; Caryophanales; Paenibacillaceae.
CCCGCUCCUGGUUUGCAUGUUCCGGCAAUGACGAUGCCGAAAGUGCAUGCCAUGCAGGCAAGCUUGGUUCAGGUUCCGGUGGAGCCGGU